This is an RNA transcript of Teleopsis dalmanni, 2013 nucleotides long. It is a transcript of the gene named F-box/WD repeat-containing protein 11-like, with no coding region annotated. Lineage: Eukaryota; Metazoa; Arthropoda; Insecta; Diptera; Diopsidae. The transcript is spliced from 7 exons. The record is from RefSeq and is a predicted model, not a curated record.
UUAAGAUCUAGAAAUUUUAAAUUUCCAGUGUUAACAUUAAUUCCAUUUACGACGAGAUUGUGUUAAGUUGAUUUGUUGACUGAGCUAAUAUAUAACUAUAAUAAUAAAUUUUGUGUGUGAAGAACUGAAAUGAAAUUUUUUUGAGAAUAAAGAUUUUCAAGUGAACAAAAAUUGAAUCACCUGAUUAAAAAAAAACUGUUGCUGUUCUUCAAUAAAAUAACUUCAAAAGAAAAGAAAGAAAAAUUAAUAUUUCACUAUGACAAUGGUGAUACUGUUUCGUUACAACGGCUCUGCCAUGCUUGAGUUGUCUGAUGAUCUUGUUAGAGUUUUUGAUAGCGAUGAUGAGGAGGAGCCGCCACCAUCGGCAGUUUUGGAGAAGUCAAUCAUUGACUUUGAUUUUGUCCAAUUUUUAAUUGACAAGAAUCUUAAUCAUGUAGCAGGUGCAAUUUUUGCUGAAUUGGACCCAAAAACCUUACGUGCUGCUUCUUUUACUUGCCGCAAAUGGCGCCAAGUCAUAUUUGAAGAAAAAGUUUGGUACACUGUUUUCAUGAAGAAGAUUAAAACUAGCACUAUUUGGGCCGAUUUAGCUGAGUGCAAUGGUUGGGAAAAGAUAAAGUCAGCUGAUAAUUUGACACCUAAGCAGCGUGCGAUGAAAUGCCGCCAUUUGUGCAAUGUCAUCGAGCAGCAAAUCCAAAAUACUACCAAUAACUGGAAUGUUGGACGCUAUACUCUGAUACGUGCCAUACAUCCACCGAAUACUGUCGUAAGUUGCUUACGUGUGGAUGAGACAAGAGUACUAUCAGUUAUUGGGAAUUUAAUUCAAGUUCGAGAUAGAGCUCGCUAUCUUCGUUGUGAAAAACUGGAAGGGCAUGAAUGCAAAGUUUUAGCUUUGCAAUUUCAUGCUCAAUUGGCAGUAUCAGCCGACAAUGAAGGAUAUAUUAAGUUCUGGUGCUUGGAAACAAAAAAAUCAAUAUAUUCUAUGCAAAAUGAUGAUGCAGUUGCAAUAAAUGACUUACGUUUCCGUGACGAGAUAUUAGUCACUGGUGACAAUGUUGGCAUAAUUGGCAUAUGGGCAAUGAAUUUACCUAGCGAAGUUACUUUGAUUCAGAAUUUGAUCGGGCACGAAGGCUCUAUUACUUGUCUUGAUUUAAGUGAUAAGAUGCUGGUUUCUGGAUGCACCUCUUGUGUUGUUAAAGUUUGGUCAAUGGAAACUCGUGAAAAUCUAUAUACUCUUCUCGGUCAUACUGAGCGUAUUAAUUGCAUUAAGUUAAGCAACAAUUUGAUUGUUAGUGGCAGUGCCGAUAAAACUGCUCGUAUUUGGAAUGCAGAGUCAGGUAUAUGUAUGCGUGUAUUGGUCGGUCAUACAGGUGCUGUUACUGCUGUGACCUUUAAUGAUGUGCGUUUGAUUACUGGCGCCAGUAACGGUUACAUGAAGGCUUGGAACAUGAAGGCAGCCCUCGAUCCACAUAAGCGUAGUGAAUAUUUGUGUACUUAUACUUUACAUGAGCAUUCAUCUGCUGUAACUAACAUCCUCUGCGAUGAAUUCCAUAUGUUCAGUUGCGCAUCGGACAAUGCAAUCAUAUUUUGGAAUUUCCUAUGCCACAAAUUUUUGACUAACAACUGGUAUUCACGAGUGCUGACCAUUGCUUGUGAUCAAGUAACCAUGGGUGUCAACCUAGAGCUUUAAUUAUCAUCAUUAAAAUUGUUUGGAACCACAUCUACGGUACUAGUUGUGAUCGAUACGUUCCUCUUCAACCGAACGAGAUCAAUGAUAUAUAAACAGAAGGACUUUAAUUGGUUUAAUACCCUAAUUUCAAAUAUCGUAGAUGAGUGGUCAUUUGAAUCAUAUUAAUAUUAUAAUCACACAUAUAGACAUAUAAAAAUGGACAACCAUUUUCAAUAUUUUAACCAUAUAUUAAUCAUAUUAUUAUACUUAUAUUCUUAAAUAUUUUCUUUAAAGGAAUUUGUUACUACAUAAUCAGUUAUUACUAUAUAUUCAAUGUGUUACUAUAU